CCUACGGGAGGCAGCAGUGGGGAAUAUUGGUCAAUGGAGGCGACUCUGAACCAGCAACGCCGCGUGAAUGAUGAAGGUCCUAGGAUUGGAAAGUUCUUUUCUAAGGGAAGAAGAAAGCGACGGUACCUUAGGAAUAAGCCUCGGCUAACUACGUGCCAGCAGUCGCGGUAAUACGGAGGCGGCAAUCGUUAGCCGGAAUGACUGGUGGUAAAGGUUUCGUGGGUGGUUUGACAAGUUAGUAGGGCAACUCCGGGACCCAAAUUCGGGAGUGCUGCUAAAACUGUCGGACUGGAGUGGAGGAGGGGCAAUCGGAAUGCCUAGUGUAGCGGUGGAAUGCGUAGAUAUUAGGAGGAACACCAGUGGCGAAGGCGGAGUGCUAGACUGUAACUGACGCUGAGGCACGAAAGCGUGGGGAGCAAACAGGAUUAGAUACCCGAGUAGUC
Molecule: ribosomal RNA, 443 nt
Filed under: uncultured bacterium
Lineage: Bacteria
Description: partial 16S ribosomal RNA
Rfam family: Bacterial small subunit ribosomal RNA
Source: RNAcentral